Molecule: non-coding RNA, 1867 nt
Organism: Picea glauca (white spruce)
Lineage: Eukaryota; Viridiplantae; Streptophyta; Pinopsida; Pinales; Pinaceae
Source: Rfam
AAAUGAGAACUUUGAAGACUGAAGUGGGGAAAGGUUCCAUGUGAACAACACUUGGACAUGGGUUAGUCGAUCCUAAGAGAUGGGGAAUCCCUGUAUCAAGGGUGCACUCUGCACAAACAUCGAAAGGGAAUUGGGUUAAUAUUCCUGAACCGGGACAUGGCGGUGGACGAAAAUGUUAGGAAAUCCAGAGACAUCAUUGGGGGCCCCGGGAAGAGAUAUCUUUUCUUUUUAACAGCUUUCCCACCCUGAAAUUGGCUCAACCAGAGAUAGGGUCCAACAGCUGGAAGAGCAUCGCACGUCUUGCAGUGUCCAGUGCACCCUUGGCAGCCCUUGAAAAUAUGGAGGACCCAGUACUGUCCAUGCUCAGUUGUACUCAUAACCACGUCAGGUCUCCAAGGUGAAUAACCUCUGGUCAAUAGAACAAUGUAGGUAAGGGAAGUCGGCAAAACGGAUCCGUAAAUUUGAGAAAAGGAUUGGCUCUAAGGGCUAGGCCUAGGGGUCUGUGUCCUCAACCCAUAGGCUGUCAGUAGUUUACCUGAGUUGCUAUCACAGCGAGGGUGGGUAGUCGCGUGUCGAUUGGGGUACGGACAUAGAAUGUCCCCUCGCGGGGGCUUUUCCCUAGGCGACAAACAGUCGACUCAAAACCGGUAUGGGCAAGGGGAAUUCGACUGUUUAAUUAAAACAAAGCAUUGAGAUGGUCCCUACGGAUACUGAUGCAAUGUGAUAUCUACCCAGUGCUUUGAAUGUCAAAGUGAAUAAAUUCAACCAAGCGUGGGUAAAUGACAGGAGUAACUAUGACUCUCUUAAGGUAGCCAAAUGCCUCGUCAUCUAAUUAGUGAUGCACAUGAAUGGAUUAAUGAGAUUCCCACUGUCCCUAUCUACUAUCUAGCAAAACCACAUCCAAGGAAACAGGCUUGGUGGAAUCAGUGGGGAAAGAAGACCCUAUUGAGCUUGACUCUAGUCCGACUUUGUGAAAUGACUUGAGAGGUGUAGAAUAAGUGGGAUCCAUUUUCAACGCAAGUGAAAUACCACUACUUUUAAUGUUAUUUUACUUAUUCCAUGGGGUGGAGACGGGGAAUUGCCCCUAUUUUUGGCCUUAAGACACGUUUUGAUGGGUCAAUCCGGGCGGAAGACAUUGUCAGGUGGGGAUUUUGGCUAGGGCGGCACAUUUGUUAAAAGAUAAUGCAGGUGUUCUAAGAUGAGCUCAACGAGAACAAAAAUAUCAUGUGGAACAAAAGGGUAAAAGCCCAUUUGAUUUUGAUUUUCAGUAUGAAUACAAACAGUGAAAGUGUGGCCUACGAAUACAAAUAGGGAUAACUGGUUGUGGUAGCCAAGUGUUCAUAGCAACGUUUCUUUUUUAUCCUUCGAUGUCGGCUCUUCCUGUCAUUAUGAAGUAGAAUUCACCAAGUGUUGGAUUGUUCACCCACCAAUAGGGAACGUGAGUUGGGUUUAGACCAUCGUGAGACAAGUUAGUUUUACCCUACUGAUGAACCAUGCCACAAUAGUAAUUCAACUUAGUAUGAGAGGAACUGUUGAUUCACAUAAUUGGUCAUCGUGCUUGGUUGAAAAGCCAAUGGUGCAAAGCUACCGUGUGUCAGAUUAUGACUGAAUGCCUCUAAGUCAGAAUCCACACUAGAAGCGACACUUAUCACUCCUCAACUGUAUCUUGACCCAUAAUAGGGGUGUCGCUUCGGCACCCCCAGGGGAUCGUGUCACUUAUGAACCUUGUCCGGGAAGUGUCUCUGUCAGGGUAUCUUUGAAAUUCAAUUUCAAAGAGUCAUUGAGAAGAAUCCUUUGAAGUGUUUUCGAGUCUUGACCGUGGAAAAAACCGCCCAAGUGGGGGGAAUUCGGGGUUUCCUAGUCUCGA